UGACUGGCUUCAAUUUUUACCAAGACGUGGUGGAGUUCACGUGCGACUCUGGAUAUGAGAUGGUUGGAAGCGUCAGUUUGACUUGUCAAGCAGAUCGCACAUGGACUGGGAUUGAACCAACAUGUAUACGUAUAUGGUGUCCGAUGUUGCCGACUCCUACAAAUGGUGGUUUUAGUGGCACCAACUUCUACAUGGACACGGUGCUCUUCACGUGCGACUCAGGCUAUGCUCUGAUCGGAGAUUCCAGUUCCACCUGUCAGGCAGAUCGGUCCUGGAGUAGCAACUUCCCUUCCUGCAGUGAAAUUGAUGAAUGCUUAGCAGCAAAUGGUGGCUGUGACCAUACUUGUACCAACACCGCCGGAUCAUUUUACUGUUCCUGCGUAGCUGGCUACAACUUGAACGCAGACGGCUUUACUUGUGAUG
Branchiostoma floridae (Florida lancelet) is the source of this 423-nucleotide long non-coding RNA. RefSeq lists it as uncharacterized. The transcript has 3 exons. The record is from RefSeq and is a predicted model, not a curated record. NCBI's taxonomy places the organism in Eukaryota, Metazoa, Chordata, Leptocardii, Amphioxiformes, Branchiostomatidae.